Molecule: ribosomal RNA, 254 nt
Filed under: uncultured bacterium
Lineage: Bacteria
Description: partial 16S ribosomal RNA
Rfam family: Bacterial small subunit ribosomal RNA
Source: RNAcentral
UACGGGGGGAGCAAGCGUUGUUCGGAUUUACUGGGCGUAAAGGGCGCGUAGGCGGCCACCGCAAGUCGGUUGUGAAAUCUCUGGGCUUAACCCAGAAAGGUCAACCGAUACUGCGGGGCUAGAGUGCAGAAGGGGCAACUGGAAUUCUCGGUGUAGCGGUGAAAUGCGCAGAUAUCAGGAGGAACACCAAUUGCGAAGGCAGCUCGCUGGGACGUUACUGACGCUGAGACGCGAAAGCGUGGGGAGCAAACAGG